GCUUGUCUCAAAGAUUAAGCCAUGCAUGUCUAAGUAUAAACAAAUCUAUACUGUGAAACUGCGAAUGGCUCAUUAUAUCAGUUAUAGUUUAUUUGAUAGUCACACUACUUGGAUAACCGUAGUAAUUCUAGAGCUAAUACAUGCACAAAGUCCUGACCUCUGGAAAGGAUGUGUUUAUUAGAUACAACCAACCCUUCGGGUUCCUGGUGAGUCAUAAUAACCGAACGAACCGCAGGCUUCGGCGGCGGUGGUUCAUUCAAGUUUCUGCCCUAUCAGCUUUCGAUGGUAGGGUAUUGGCCUACCAUGGCGUUAACGGGUAACGGAGAAUUAGGGUUCGAUUCCGGAGAGGGAGCCUGAGAGAUGGCUACCACAUCCAAGGAAGGCAGCAGG
Molecule: ribosomal RNA, 390 nt
Filed under: uncultured Bicosoecida
Lineage: Eukaryota; Bigyra; Bicosoecida
Description: partial small subunit ribosomal RNA
Rfam family: Eukaryotic small subunit ribosomal RNA
Source: RNAcentral